GAUGAACGCUGGCGGCGUGCCUAAUCCAUGCAAGUCGAACGGAGUAUCAGCAAUGUGCUUAGUGGCGAACGGGUGAGUAACGCGUUGGUGACCUGCCCCAAAGCGGGGGAUAACAGAUCGAAAGGUCUGCUAAUACCCCAUGUGGUCACGAGGGUUAGAGGCCUUGUGACUAAAGAUGCAAAUCGCUUUGGGUGGGGCCUGCGUCCCAUCAGCUUGUUGGUAGGGUAAUGGCCUACCAAGGCUACGACGGGUAGGGGGCCUGAGAGGGUGGCCCCCCACACUGGCACUGAAACACGGGCCAGACUCCUACGGGAGGCAG
This 319-nucleotide ribosomal RNA is filed under the name uncultured Chloroflexota bacterium. RNAcentral's name for it is "bacterial SSU rRNA". It matches the Rfam family "Bacterial small subunit ribosomal RNA", at positions 28 to 351 of the family's 1533-position model. The record is from RNAcentral. Lineage: Bacteria; Bacillati; Chloroflexota.